This 301-nucleotide ribosomal RNA is filed under the name uncultured bacterium. RNAcentral describes it as "partial 16S ribosomal RNA". It matches the Rfam family "Bacterial small subunit ribosomal RNA", at positions 509 to 809 of the family's 1533-position model. The record is from RNAcentral.
CAGUCGCCACGGUAAUACGUAGGUGGCAAGCGUUGUCCGGAAUUAUUGGGCGUAAAGCGCGCGCAGGUGGUUUAAUAAGUCUGAUGUGAAAGCCCACGGCUCAACCGUGGAGGGUCAUUGGAAACUGUUAAACUUGAGUGCAGGAGAGAAAAGUGGAAUUCCUAGUGUAGCGGUGAAAUGCGUAGAGAUUAGGAGGAACACCAGUGGCGAAGGCGGCUCUCCGGCUUGUAACUGACGCUGAGGCUCGAAAGCGUGGGGCGCAAACAGGAUUAGAGACCCCAGUAGUCCCUGUCUCUUAUAA